UACGGAGGAUGCGAGCGUUAUCCGGAUUUAUUGGGUUUAAAGGGUGCGCAGGCGGCGUGUCAAGUCAGCGGUAAAAUGUCGGGGCUCAACCCCGGCCGGCCGUUGAAACUGGCAGACUUGAGUUGGCGAGAAGUACGCGGAAUGCGCGGUGUAGCGGUGAAAUGCAUAGAUAUCGCGCAGAACACCGAUUGCGAAGGCAGCUUGCUAGGCCGGAUCUGACACUGAUGCACGAAAGCGUGGGGAUCGAACAGG
This 252-nucleotide ribosomal RNA is filed under the name uncultured Bacteroidales bacterium. Its description in RNAcentral is "partial 16S ribosomal RNA". It matches the Rfam family "Bacterial small subunit ribosomal RNA", at positions 524 to 776 of the family's 1533-position model. Lineage: Bacteria; Pseudomonadati; Bacteroidota; Bacteroidia; Bacteroidales. The record is from RNAcentral.